Molecule: unclassified non-coding RNA, 338 nt
Filed under: soil metagenome
Description: partial contains 5.8S ribosomal RNA, internal transcribed spacer 2, and large subunit ribosomal RNA
Rfam family: 5.8S ribosomal RNA (bases 1-120)
Source: RNAcentral
GAUGAAGAACGUAGCGAAAUGCGAUAAGUAAUGUGAAUUGCAGAAUUCAGUGAAUCAUCGAAUCUUUGAACGCAUAUUGCGCCCGCCAGCAUUCUGGCGGGCAUGCCUGUUCGAGCGUCAUUUCAACCCUCAAGCUCUGCUUGGUGUUGGGGCCCUACGGUUGACGUAGGCCCUUAAAGGUAGUGGCGGACCCUCUCGGAGCCUCCUUUGCGUAGUAACUAACGUCUCGCAUUGGGAUUCGGAGGGACUCUUGCCGUAAAACCCCCAAAUUUUCUAAUGGUUGACCUCGGAUCAGGUAGGAAUACCCGCUGAACUUAAGCAUAUCAAUAAGCGGAGGA